RNAcentral lists this ribosomal RNA (761 nucleotides) under uncultured bacterium. RNAcentral's name for it is "bacterial SSU rRNA". It matches the Rfam family "Bacterial small subunit ribosomal RNA", at positions 73 to 849 of the family's 1533-position model. The record is from RNAcentral.
CUGGGGGCAACUCCAGGCAGCGGCGGACGGGUGCGUAACACGUGGAUAAUCUGCCCUAGAGACGGGGAUAACCAGCCGAAAGGUUAGCUAAUACCCGGUAAGCUCACGGACCCGAAGGGGUCAGGGAGAAAAGUCGCAAGACGCUCUAGGAUGAGUCCGCGGCCCAUCAGGUAGUUGGCGGGGUAAAGGCCCACCAAGCCUACGACGGGUAGCUGGUCUGAGAGGACGACCAGCCACACUGGAACUGAGACACGGUCCAGACUCCUACGGGAGGCAGCAGUGGGGAAUCUUGCGCAAUGGGCGAAAGCCUGACGCAGCGACGCCGCGUGUGCGAUGAAGGUCUUCGGAUCGUAAAGCACUGUCGCCCGGGAAAAAGAAAGUGAUGGUACCGGGAGAGGAAGCACCGGCUAACUCUGUGCCAGCAGCCGCGGUAAUACAGAGGGUGCGAGCGUUGUUCGGAAUUAUUGGGCGUAAAGCGCUUGUAGGCGGCGCAGCAAGUCGCGUGUGAAAGCCCUCGGCUCAACCGAGGAAGUGCGCGCGAAACUGCUGUGCUUGAGUGCCGGAGAGGGUGGCGGAAUUCCCGGUGUAGAGGUGAAAUUCGUAGAUAUCGGGAGGAACACCAGAGGCGAAGGCGGCCACCUGGAAGGUAACUGACGCUGAGAAGCGAAAGCGUGGGGAGCAAACAGGAUUAGAUACCCUGGUAGUCCACGCCGUAAACGAUGGAUGCUAGCUGUGGUGGGUAUUGACCCCCGCCGUGGCGA